UGGGGAAUUUUGGACAAUGGGGGCAACCCUGAUCCAGCAAUGCCGCGUGUGUGAAGAAGGCCUUCGGGUUGUAAAGCACUUUUGUCCGGAAAGAAAUCGCCCUGGCUAAUAUCCGGGGUGGAUGACGGUACUGGAAGAAUAAGCACCGGCUAACUACGUGCCAGCAGCCGCGGUAAUACGUAGGGUGCGAGCGUUAAUCGGAAUUACUGGGCGUAAAGCGUGCGCAGGCGGUUGUGCAAGACAGAUGUGAAAUCCCCCGGGGCUUAAACCUGGGAAUGGCAUUUGUGACUGCACGGCUAGAGUGUGUCAGAGGGGGGUAGAAUUCCACGUGUAGCAGUGAAAUGCGUAGAUAUGUGGAGGAACACCGAUGGCGAAGGCAGCCCCCUGGGAUAACACUGACGCCCAUGCACGAAAGCGUGGGGAGCAAAACAGGAUUAGAUACCCUGGUAGUCCACGCCCUAAACGAUGUCAACUAGUUGUCGGGUCUUAAUUGACUUGGUAACGCAGCU
This 509-nucleotide ribosomal RNA is filed under the name uncultured bacterium. RNAcentral describes it as "partial 16S ribosomal RNA". It matches the Rfam family "Bacterial small subunit ribosomal RNA", at positions 355 to 853 of the family's 1533-position model. The record is from RNAcentral.